Onthophagus taurus is the source of this 3919-nucleotide non-coding RNA. Lineage: Eukaryota; Metazoa; Arthropoda; Insecta; Coleoptera; Scarabaeidae. The record is from RefSeq and is a predicted model, not a curated record.
UGAAAGCUCUCUCAAAGAGGUUUGCAAUUGACGAACCUUUUCGUGAAGGUCUUUAUAAAAAUUUUGGUAUAAACUAUUAAUUUCGGCUAAAAUCACCCCUUUGGUAGUUUCUACUGCUGUACACAUUGCCUUUGAAAAAAGGCUUUCAGACACAUCGGAAAUAUCUGAAGUAGCAGGAAUAUUGUCAACCCUUAAGAUGUGGAGCAGGAGCUAAUGAAGCUUUAGAAGAAGAAGGAGAAGCCUUAGUAGCUUUAAGAUACUUCCGGUUUACGGUACGACAGUGUUGUGAUACCGCUAUUAAAGCAAGAGAGUCGUCGGAUUUAUCGGACUCGUUCUCGAUAACCACUUUCGACUGUGUCAUUUCAACCUUCGACGGGGUCGCUGGUUCAACUGACACAUACUUGCGUUGGCUACGUCGCGAACGAGCACGUACCUCCCUUCUUUCCUCUCUAUACUUUUCUGACGGUAUCCACACACCUGCAGCCUUCUUCCAAUGUUCACGGUUCCCCGAAUUCCGACGAAGUGAAAGGCGUUUCACAUUGUUAUCGUCGACAUUCGCGGAACCUGCGACGUUCAGAAGCGACGGAUCUUGCUGCGCAUUAGAUUCCACGUUAGGAUCCAUCGGCUGCUCAUUAGGCUGCACGUUUGGAUCCAGCGCCUUCUCAACAGUCGAUAUGUUCAACAGGUUUAUGUCAAAACUGUUUAACAGGAAUGACUCCUGGCUGCUGGCGAAACCGGGAGCAGUUAAAUCAAUUUGACUAAAACAGUCUUGAGACAUCUUGAUAAAAAAGAUUCAUACAUUAAUUUAUUUUAUUUUAAUAAAAAAUCACUUACUCACAUACUUACAUCGCUUGAUGAAAAGAACGUUAAAAUCUAAUUGCAGUGGGUGCUGAAUGAUAGGAUGUGAAUGAUAAAAAAUUAUUGUAUAUAUUAUGAUACAAACGUUCGAUAAUAAAGUUAUGCUUACCAACAAAAAUUGAAAUUUUAAAUAGAAGGAGCUAUAGGAAUGAAAAAACCAGAUUAGCAACAAUAUAUGCAAAGAAAAAGAAGGCUUACCAGAAAAAAGUCGCCGAGAUUACGAAGUUACCAAACUGAUCGAACUGAUCAAACAAAAAAAUCGAAGUGAUCAGCAGUAAGGUCCUGUAGGAAUUGAAAAAAUAAAAACAACAAUUUAACAUAACAAACAAAUAAACAAGUUAUACUCACAAAAACAAAGUAGAAAGAGCUGUUAUGAUGAAAUAAAACAUGAAAGUUUACAUAUUAUAUAAGCAAAGUAAAAAAGGUUACUUACCAAAUUUUAAAUUACCUUACCACAUUUUUAAAUUCAUUUGUUGUAUUAUAAAAUAAUAAAUUUAAAAACUUAAACUCUAACAACACUAAUACCAAGUUUACCUACAGAAAAUACACUUUCAUCAAUAAGUUUAAUUUCUAUUAAACUAUUAAUCUAUUAAUUUUACGAACUUUAAGACCGUGAGCAACGGCUUGUUUUAAAUUUCUAUAAUGGAUCACAUAAUUUUUCUUAUCAAAUAAAUUCGGAAUUAAUCUCCUUUCACUUUCACAUCGAUUAUUGGGGGCAAUUAAAUUCUCAGCUAAAAACGGGAGAUCGUUGUGUAAAUCAUGCAAAGCUGCAGGGUAUUCAAUAUCUACGUCUAAAAUAUAUCCAAAAUCGGAAUUAUCGGGUAUAUUAUUAAAAUCUAAUUUUUGUAUGUCAUUUUCACUCAGCCAUUUAAAAUUGGAAACGGGCAUAAAUUGAGACAUCGCCCACCCAUACAAAUUAUUAGCGUCCCAAUACAUUAAAAAGUUUGACGGUAAAUUGAGGUUAUAAUCAUCCAUAUAUUUAUUAUUGGCUUUAGCGGACCGUAGGGAGCAUUGGGAAAUGCCUCCACGGAUACCUUUCUUAAUAAAAUGGACUUGAUCUAUAUCCGUCAAUAAUUCUAAUUUAAUUUUGGUAAAUUUCAACAUUGCAUCCCAAGAAAGUCCUGGGGCAGUAUAAUAAUGAGCGGGAUCUAAAUCGUAGGUUUUGAAGCAAACUUGUCUGAAUUUUUCAAAUACAUCUUCAAGUAAAAGGACAUCAGUUUUUAGAUACAAAUCCGAAUAAUCUUUUAACCCUUAAAUGCAUGAUAUUUUUUUUUCAACUCAACCAUAGAAAAACGAGUUUAGUGGAUGAUAAAAAGUCAAGGAAAAAUAUGAAAAAAAAUUAAAUUUUAUUUUUUUAAAUAUUUAUUUAACAAAAAACGUAUGUUGCCGCACGGCAACAUUGCGCAUACAGUAAACUUAUCAUUUAUCUAAUUAAUGUGGAAGUUAUAAAAACAGUUAUUGUCUUUGUUCAGGCAAAGUGCUACUCCGCAUUUUUGGCAUUUUGUGUGUGAACCCUUUACAAUUUGGAUAUUUGCAUCGCAUUUUACCAUCUUCUAAAAUAGGCCAAUGUCCACACUGAUCUCUUCUGACGUCCUUGGGGGGAAUGUACUAGCAAGGACCUUUUUUCUUCUUAUUCUGUAUUUCAUUUUCUAGUGUACUGGGUCUGCCUCGUUUUGAGACUGAUGUUUCUAUUUUGCACAAAGUUUCAGCAAGCUCAGUGCGAAAUUCGGCUUGUGAAAGAAUUUUAGUGGAGGUACCUUUGGCGAGUAAUACUUUUUUGUAUAGAAUCCAAGAAUUUGCAGCUAUCAAGUCAAGUAGGUGGUAAAAAAUCCUUAAAUACCAUUUUCUACUCUUGAUACGUAUUUUGUAUCUUCCAAUAUUACUGUCCAUUAGGUCCACACCUCCCAUAUGGCGGUUGUAUUCCCGAAUGACGAAUGGACAAUCUACUUCCACAACCAUUUUUAAUUUUCGGUCAAAACGUUUCACUUUUCGUAUCGGAGCAGUACCAGCAAAACUUGACAACAUAGUGACGUAUUUGUUGUCUUUCCAUACUGUUGAUGAAAUGUCAACUCCAUCGACUGUUGCUACAUAUUCACAGCUUUCACCACGACGCCAUUUUUUCAUACAUUUUUCAGUGGGUAGCUUACAAUCUGGUAUUCUUUUCCUCUGAACCGUGCCCAAAGAAAAUACUCCUUUUUUUGCUAGAUAUAUCAUAAGCGGUACGCUUGUGUAAUAGUUAUCAUGAUACAACCGAAAAUUUUGAUGUUCUGGUAUAAUUCUAGAGAGGCGAACAACUGUAUUAGAUGAUGGUCCUAGAUCAGGUUCUCCUUCUGGACGAUUCGCAGAAUUUUCUUGGCCACUAUAAAUUUCAAAUGCAUAAGAAAAGCCUGAAACUCCAGCUAUUAUGUAUAAUUUGAAUCCCCAUUUGUGAGGCUUCUUGGGCAAAUAUUGUUUCAUGUAGUGUCCUAUUUUAGUGGAACACAUUUGCUCAUCCACACUGAGGUGCUGCUCAAGGGGUACGCUGGAAAAUCUAUUGUUCAAUAUAUCAAUUAGUGAUCUUAUUUUGUAGAGUCUAUCAUGGUCCGGUUGAGAGAAUGGAAUUAGAUUAGUGUUGUAGUAGGUAGAAAAUGAGGACACUUCUGACGUCACAGCAUGGCAUGAGGAUACUUCUGACGUCAGAGCCCCUCCAAGCCCCCACCCCGCAGGGUGGGGUUAGGAUGGGCGUUGACGAAAGUAGUCCCCCACCCCACGCCACCACACGUGACCAAUAGAAGUGCCCCCAUUUUCAGAGAGAGAGUGACUUACCACACCACCAACACCACCGCCGCCGCCAAAAUAAAUUUUUUUUAUUUUCUUAAAUUUAAAGUACAUAUAUAUUAAUAAUCUAAACUGCUGUUUAUGUUGCGAUAAUGACACGUCUUAUUUAUAUCUAAAUUUAUGAUAACUAAAUUUUUAAAAUCUUCUCCAAUCGUCUCCCGCAAUAACCUCUCUUUUUGAUGUCCCUUCACAAAAACCACCUCCACAUCCCUCAAACGCUCCAACAAAAUUUCUUUGAGCGAGG